AACCUUGAUGCUCUGAAUAUUUGCUUGAGAGGAGACGAGACGUGUGACAACGCAUGAUGAACCUGAAAGAGGAAAAUGAGCGAUCUUAAUGCUCUGAAUUGCUACUAGACAUGCCACAAUGCACGACGAAAAAGGAGCAAAUGCAUAACUUUAAAAGGUGCUAAGAUCGUGUAGGAGCUCCGAUGAAGGCGUCGUUGAUGACAUGAUGGUCGCCUAGUCGAGACGAUCAAAACCAUGUGAUCAUCGGUCAAAACUUGAUAUUUGAUAGUGGCAGUGAUAGACGACGACGCCGCCAGCAACAAUAGGUGGUGCCACCGUCGACAGUGACAAAUGUAGUGAGAGAGGCAUUAAAAACUUUUUUCUCAAACGAACCUGAUAC
RNAcentral lists this long non-coding RNA (379 nucleotides) under Vigna radiata. RNAcentral describes it as "long non-coding RNA (VRAD_LNC000496)". The record is from RNAcentral. Lineage: Eukaryota; Viridiplantae; Streptophyta; Magnoliopsida; Fabales; Fabaceae.